AAAAAAAAAAAACAAAACAAAGAACUCCUGGUGAAAUUCAUCACUCAUUUUCACCAACACACAGAUUGUAUUAGUUGAUCUCCUUCACACCUCGUGAUACUUAUGCCAAUCGUUUAUCGAAGUUUUUAUGCCUCUCGUUUAUCGAAGUUCUGAUUCGCAUAAUUUCACCUCAACGAGAACCACUCAAUCACAUCCCAUGCAACGCGCCGUCGCGUGACCUCCACGCGCUCAUCGGAAACGACCGAUAACGACGACCGGCAAAUCGGACAGUUAAAAUUAAACGUAUCUAACCAUCCAUCAAAACACGCCUUAUGAAAAACAUGCUUACAAUCCAAUUUCCUCACAUUUUCACCAUCAAUUAAUCGAUUCAAGCAAAAAACGCAGCUCGAACCAGCAGAUUGAUCGUCAAAUGCAUACGAGAACAUCCGAUUCAAAUUAAGCUGUUCAGCCAGCAUAACGACUCCGGCUAAACCUGAACCAACCGCAUCGUAAAUCGCAUUUUCUUCGAUUUGAAUCGGAUUUACUGAAACGCCGAUGAACUGAAGAAAAGUGAAGAUGAUCGAACGGAGAUUAGCGAUGCAAUUAGCGAGAAGAGUUACGAGCAAAAUAGGAAUGGAUUCAGUAGAAACAUCACUUAAUUGAUUUUGUAAUCCCAUUUUUUU
Molecule: unclassified non-coding RNA, 662 nt
Filed under: Hevea brasiliensis (rubber tree)
Lineage: Eukaryota; Viridiplantae; Streptophyta; Magnoliopsida; Malpighiales; Euphorbiaceae
Source: RNAcentral